This 433-nucleotide ribosomal RNA is filed under the name uncultured bacterium. RNAcentral's name for it is "partial 16S ribosomal RNA". It matches the Rfam family "Bacterial small subunit ribosomal RNA", at positions 29 to 507 of the family's 1533-position model. The record is from RNAcentral.
AACGAACGCUGGCGGCAUGCCUAACACAUGCAAGUCGAACGAGACCUUCGGGUCUAGUGGCGCACGGGUGCGUAACGCGUGGGAACCUGCCCUUAGGUUCGGAAUAACUCCCCGAAAGGGGUGCUAAUACCGGAUAAUGUCUUCGGACCAAAGAUUUAUCGCCUUUGGAUGGGCCCGCGUUGGAUUAGCUAGUUGGUAGGGUAAAAGCCUACCAAGGCGACGAUCCAUGGCUGGUCUGAGAGGAUGAUCAGCCACACUGGGACUGAGACACGGCCCAGACUCCUACGGGAGGCAGCAGUGGGGAAUAUUGGACAAUGGGCGAAAGCCUGAUCCAGCAAUGCCGCGUGAGUGAUGAAGGCCUUAGGGUUGUGAAGCUCUUUUACCCGGGAUGAUAAUGACAGUACCGGGAGAAUAAGCUCCGGCUAACUCCGUG